Molecule: ribosomal RNA, 657 nt
Filed under: Escherichia coli
Lineage: Bacteria; Pseudomonadati; Pseudomonadota; Gammaproteobacteria; Enterobacterales; Enterobacteriaceae
Also listed under: 1 other name
Description: partial 23S ribosomal RNA
Rfam family: Bacterial large subunit ribosomal RNA
Source: RNAcentral
AUAAUGGGUCAGCGACUUAUAUUCUGUAGCAAGGUUAACCGAAUAGGGGAGCCGAAGGGAAACCGAGUCUUAACUGGGCGUUAAGUUGCAGGGUAUAGACCCGAAACCCGGUGAUCUAGCCAUGGGCAGGUUGAAGGUUGGGUAACACUAACUGGAGGACCGAACCGACUAAUGUUGAAAAAUUAGCGGAUGACUUGUGGCUGGGGGUGAAAGGCCAAUCAAACCGGGAGAUAGCUGGUUCUCCCCGAAAGCUAUUUAGGUAGCGCCUCGUGAAUUCAUCUCCGGGGGUAGAGCACUGUUUCGGCAAGGGGGUCAUCCCGACUUACCAACCCGAUGCAAACUGCGAAUACCGGAGAAUGUUAUCACGGGAGACACACGGCGGGUGCUAACGUCCGUCGUGAAGAGGGAAACAACCCAGACCGCCAGCUAAGGUCCCAAAGUCAUGGUUAAGUGGGAAACGAUGUGGGAAGGCCCAGACAGCCAGGAUGUUGGCUUAGAAGCAGCCAUCAUUUAAAGAAAGCGUAAUAGCUCACUGGUCGAGUCGGCCUGCGCGGAAGAUGUAACGGGGCUAAACCAUGCACCGAAGCUGCGGCAGCGACGCUUAUGCGUUGUUGGGUAGGGGAGCGUUCUGUAAGCCUGCGAAGGUGUGCUGUGAGG